This is a long non-coding RNA of Mobula hypostoma (lesser devil ray), 150 nucleotides long. RefSeq lists it as uncharacterized. Lineage: Eukaryota; Metazoa; Chordata; Chondrichthyes; Myliobatiformes; Myliobatidae. The transcript is spliced from 4 exons. The record is from RefSeq and is a predicted model, not a curated record.
AGGCAACAAACAAGGGAAGCAGAUCAAAGACGAAUGUGAAAGGAUAAGAGUCAAAGGUAUUUGUUGCAUAUAUCAAUGUAUGGAGGAGGAGUGCCAAGAUUUUCUAAAGGAGACCAAUCAACAAACGAACUCUGAAAAGAAGUGUCACAA